RNAcentral lists this long non-coding RNA (789 nucleotides) under Lotus japonicus. RNAcentral describes it as "long non-coding RNA (LJAP_LNC000525)". The record is from RNAcentral. Lineage: Eukaryota; Viridiplantae; Streptophyta; Magnoliopsida; Fabales; Fabaceae.
UCGGAUUUGGAAUCAAAAUGCAAACUCUUGGCUGAGAAGGAUGCCCAGGCCAUCACCUUGGAGAAGCAGAUAAGGAAGGAGCCUGCUCACGCGGCGGCUAAUGAGCGUAUCCGCGACUUCCUAAUUGCCAAGGCUCAAGUCAAGCACCUCCAUCCUACUAUUAACCUUGACCUCCUGGGGGCUUUCAAGAAGGUUACCCCCACCGGACUGGUGGGUCCAGAAGAUCCGCCGAAAGUUGCUUGCGUUGACCUUGGAGACACUGUGGAAUAAGAGAAAAAAAUAUAAUGUUAACCUAUUUCGAGUUAUUGUAACGCUUAGUACCUCUUUACUUCGUUUAAACUUUUUGUUUGUAUUUUACUUUCAAGGUUAAUCGAUUCAGCUUUACUUCUUUAUGUUUUAUGCUUGUUUUAGCGCUUUUAGAGUUUUUCUCUCUCGCACCCCCCAUAGUUCCCUUGUUUCUGAGUUACGUCUGACGAUAUUGAUGGUGUGCCUUGUUUAACUAGGACUUUUGCUCAGUUUUUUAACCGAGGCUUUGUCCACACCAUAUUUCCCUUAAGAGCAGGUGCGGCCUCGCCAGUUUUGUCCUGUCGAUGACUUAUUGCUGCUAGGGACCCAAUGACCAUAUAAGUUUACCCAGACUUAUGCCUAGUUAGGUUCGCUCGCCCAUAUUUUGGGGAGGUUUUUUAGGAUAAGAAGCUUAUCCGUACACAUCGCCAACGAGUGACGGCGAGCUGCGUCGGCUUUUCCGGAGCGAUCCCCAGACAUCAAGGUCGUGUGGGAUCGCCACCU